AAACCAAAAUCGAAACCAAGUCUCCUUCUCCCUAUCCGAGGGAAGAGGCAAUAAGUCCAGAUCUUCAAUCGUCACGAGACUGGGCACGUCACAUUUCUUCCACUCUUCUAUUUCCUUUGGCAUAUGUGUUGUAACUACAAACGGGUGAUUGUUGGUCUGAUCGUGAAGGCCAAUUUUGAUAACGGGUGAUUGUUGGUUGGUUAUGGUGGAAAAUUCUACCAUAUUGAGUUGUGGGGUUGAUCAACCCGACCACAAGCCCUCUAUCCUGAUCACUACAAACACAAAGAUGAACAAGAGCCCUGAGAUUCCCUGCAUAUCAUCAUUAUACCGUACUUUCCAUGUCGUUGAAAUAACUGAGAAAGGUUAAAAUUAGUUGUCACAGUACUUCUAAUAAUAAAAAGUUAUGUAGGUUCUAUGUUUAAAUUUGUAAUCAAAUACUCUCAAAAUCAGGAAUGUAAUCACGAGGAAUAGUUGAUUUGAUUUCAAAUAUUUGAUUAUC
Prunus mume (Japanese apricot) is the source of this 499-nucleotide non-coding RNA. Lineage: Eukaryota; Viridiplantae; Streptophyta; Magnoliopsida; Rosales; Rosaceae. The record is from RefSeq and is a predicted model, not a curated record.